This 1489-nucleotide ribosomal RNA is filed under the name Arthrobacter sp. CRPB11. RNAcentral's name for it is "bacterial SSU rRNA". It matches the Rfam family "Bacterial small subunit ribosomal RNA". Lineage: Bacteria; Bacillati; Actinomycetota; Actinomycetes; Micrococcales; Micrococcaceae. The record is from RNAcentral.
AGAGUUUGAUCAUGGCUCAGAAUGAACGCUGGCGGCGUGCUUAACACAUGCAAGUCGAACGAUGACUUUUGUGCUUGCACAGAAUGAUUAGUGGCGAACGGGUGAGUAACACGUGAGUAACCUGCCCCUGACUCUGGGAUAAGCCUGGGAAACUGGGUCUAAUACUGGAUAUGCACCGUAGACCGCAUGGUUUUUGGUGGAAAGAAUUUGUGGUCAGGGAUGGACUCGCGGCCUAUCAGCUUGUUGGCGAGGUAAUGGCUCACCAAGGCGACGACGGGUAGCCGGCCUGAGAGGGUGACCGGCCACACUGGGACUGAGACACGGCCCAGACUCCUACGGGAGGCAGCAGUGGGGAAUAUUGCACAAUGGGCGAAAGCCUGAUGCAGCGACGCCGCGUGAGGGAUGACGGCCUUCGGGUUGUAAACCUCUUUCAGUAGGGAAGAAGCGAAAGUGACGGUACCUGCAGAAGAAGCGCCGGCUAACUACGUGCCAGCAGCCGCGGUAAUACGUAGGGCGCAUGCGUUAUCCGGAAUUAUUGGGCGUAAAGAGCUCGUAGGCGGUUUGUCGCGUCUGCCGUGAAAGUCCGAGGCUCAACUUCGGAUCUGCGGGGGGUACGGGCAGACUAGAGUGAUGUAGGGGAGACUGGAAUUCCUGGUGUAGCGGUGAAAUGCGCAGAUAUCAGGAGGAACACCGAUGGCGAAAGCAGGUCUCUGGGCAUCUACUUGACCCUGAGGAGCGAAAGCUUGGGGAGCGAACAGGAUUAGAUACCCUGGUAGUCCAUGCCGUAAACGUUGGGCACUAGGUGUGGGGGACAUUCCACGUUUUCCGCGCCGUAGCUAACGCAUUAAGUGCCCCGCCUGGGGAGUACGGCCGCAAGGCUAAAACUCAAAGGAAUUGACGGGGGCCCGCACAAGCGGCGGAGCAUGCGGAUUAAUUCGAUGCAACGCGAAGAACCUUACCAAGGCUUGACAUGUGCUAGAUCGCCAUAGAAAUAUGGUUUCCCCUUUGGGGCUGGUUCACAGGUGGUGCAUGGUUGUCGUCAGCUCGUGUCGUGAGAUGUUGGGUUAAGUCCCGCAACGAGCGCAACCCUCGUUCUAUGUUGCCAGCACGUUAUGGUGGGGACUCAUAGGAGACUGCCGGGGUCAACUCGGAGGAAGGUGGGGACGACGUCAAAUCAUCAUGCCCCUUAUGUCUUGGGCUUCACGCAUGCUACAAUGGCCGGUACAAUGGGUUGCGAUACUGUGAGGUGGAGCUAAUCCCAAAAAGCCGGUCUCAGUUCGGAUUGGGGUCUGCAACUCGACCCCAUGAAGUCGGAGUCGCUAGUAAUCGCAGAUCAGCAACGCUGCGGUGAAUACGUUCCCGGGCCUUGUACACACCGCCCGUCAAGUCACGAAAGUUGGUAACACCCGAAGCCGGUGGCCUAACCCCUUGUGGGAGGGAGCCGUCGAAGGUGGGACUGGCGAUUGGGACUAAGUCGUAACAAGGUAAC